This 449-nucleotide ribosomal RNA is filed under the name uncultured bacterium. RNAcentral describes it as "partial 16S ribosomal RNA". It matches the Rfam family "Bacterial small subunit ribosomal RNA", at positions 30 to 523 of the family's 1533-position model. The record is from RNAcentral.
AUUGAACGCUGGCGGCAGGCCUAACACAUGCAAGUCGAACGAAGUCUUCGGACUUAGUGGCGGACGGGUGAGUAACACGUGGGAACGUGCCUUUAGGUUCGGAAUAACUCAGGGAAACUUGUGCUAAUACCGAAUGUGCCCUUCGGGGGAAAGAGUUAUCGCCUUUAGAGCGGCCCGCGUCUGAUUAGCUAGUUGGUGGGGUAAAGGCUCCCCAAGGCUACGAUCAGUAGCCGGUCUGAGAGGAUGACCAGCAACAUUGGGACUGAGACACGGCCCAAACUCCUACGGGAGGCAGCAGUGGGGAAUCUUGCGCAAUGGGCGAAAGCCUGACGCAGCCAUGCCGCGUGGAUGAUGAAGGUCUUAGGAUUGUAAAAUCCUUUCACCGGUGAAGAUAAUGACUGUAGCCGGAGAAGAAGCCCCGGCUAACUUCGUGCCAGCCGCCGCGGUAA